This is a small nucleolar RNA of Rattus norvegicus (Norway rat), 94 nucleotides long. The record is from Ensembl. Lineage: Eukaryota; Metazoa; Chordata; Mammalia; Rodentia; Muridae.
CUACUCUUAUAAUGUCCAGCACAGGGUUUUGACCACCCUGAGGACAUGGUGCCUUGCCCCAAGAACUUUGAUUCCAGAAUGACUGGAGGACUGG